Molecule: small nucleolar RNA, 86 nt
Filed under: Tauraco erythrolophus (red-crested turaco)
Lineage: Eukaryota; Metazoa; Chordata; Aves; Musophagiformes; Musophagidae
Source: RNAcentral
UCUCUGGUGUCUCAAUAGAUCCUGCUUACCCUUCACUGUGUGUUCAGUGGAAUAGAAAGGAAGGGAAGAAGUUUGUGGCUGAGGGA